AUGUUCGGGGAUAUGCAAAGUCUCAAAAUUUACCUGGCGGGCAUUUUUCUUCAGGACACGACUGCUGGAAAAAUUCAGGAAACAGGAACGCAGGAUACCAGAACAGCAGGGAAUCCGAUAAGGAGAGAGGAGACCCGCGGCAGAAGGCUGGUGGAGCGAGAUCCCAGGACCACGGCGCUAUACAAGGAGAAAGAAUUUUGGAAAAAGAUUCCACCAGAGAGUUUCCGAUGGCACGUUGAAAGUGAACUAACGCCCUGCUAUCUGUGGUGCAUAUGAAUUCUUAUUUGAAAACUAUAACUAUUGGGGUUAACAAAGACUCUGCGCCUGCCAAGGUCAAGUUUAGUUAUGAGAAUCUGCUAUGAACAUCUCACCAUAGGAAAAGGUCAUUCUUUAUGUCCUCAACUUGCUGAAGGAAGAAAUUCCAGAGAGGUAAUCUCUGCUUCCUGACUAUGAAGGAGAAAGAUGUCUUGGAGGCAGGUCUUUCCUGGCGAAUGUUAAGAUGGCGAUCUUCGUGAAGAAGUAACCUUGCAGUUAAGAAAGGAUGAACCAUGGAAAGGUGCACUGGAAGAUGCCCAGUCCUUCUUAAACACCUUGUAUCGGUUUCAUUCUAGUUUUUCUUGGUAUUUUAUGAUACUUUCUGAAAAGUUCAUAUUGAAAAAGAAGUUAAAGUAUCUUUACUGUCAGACAAAUGAUAGUGUAUGAAGAGCAUCCUAAGAAAUCUACAAAAGCUACUAGAACUAAUAAGUGAGUUUAACAAGGUUGCAAGAAAAAAGUUGAAAAAUAAAGAUUAAUUACAUUUGUAUAUAUUACA
RNAcentral lists this long non-coding RNA (811 nucleotides) under Felis catus (domestic cat). RNAcentral describes it as "lncRNA (ENSFCAG00000044221.2)". The record is from RNAcentral. Lineage: Eukaryota; Metazoa; Chordata; Mammalia; Carnivora; Felidae.